CCUACGGGAGGCAGCAGUGGGGAAUAUUGGACAAUGGGGGGAACCCUGAUCCAGCGACGCCGCGUGAGUGAAGAAGUAUUUCGGUAUGUAAAGCUCUAUCAGCAGGGAAGAAAGAAAUGACGGUACCUGACUAAGAAGCCUCGGCUAACGACGUGCCAGCAGCCGCGGGAAGACGGAGGGUGCAAGCGUUAUCCGGAUUUACUGGGUGUAAAGGGAGCGUAGGCGGCGAUGCAAGUCUGAAGUGAAAGGCGGGGGCCCAACCCCUGGACUGCUUUGGAAACUGUAUGGCUGGAGUGCAGGAGAGGUAAGUGGAAUGCGUAGUGUAGCGGUGAAAUGCGUAGAUAUCAGGAGGAACACCAGUGGCGAAGGCGGCUUACUGGACUGUAACUGACGUUGAGGCACGAAAGCGUGGGGAGCAAACAGGAUUAGAUACCCGUGUAGUC
This 443-nucleotide ribosomal RNA is filed under the name uncultured bacterium. Its description in RNAcentral is "partial 16S ribosomal RNA". It matches the Rfam family "Bacterial small subunit ribosomal RNA", at positions 338 to 795 of the family's 1533-position model. The record is from RNAcentral.